UACGAAGGGGGCUAGCGUUGCUCGGAAUGACUGGGCGUAAAGGGCGCGUAGGCGGAUGGCACAGUCAGAUGUGAAAUUCCCGGGCUUAACCUGGGGGCUGCAUUUGAUACGUGUUGUCUUGAGUUCGGAAGAGGGUCGUGGAAUUCCCAGUGUAGAGGUGAAAUUCGUAGAUAUUGGGAAGAACACCUGUGGCGAAAGCGGCUCACUGGACCAUAACUGACGCUGAGGCGCGAAAGCUAGGGGAGCAAACAGG
RNAcentral lists this ribosomal RNA (253 nucleotides) under uncultured bacterium. RNAcentral's name for it is "partial 16S ribosomal RNA". It matches the Rfam family "Bacterial small subunit ribosomal RNA", at positions 524 to 776 of the family's 1533-position model. The record is from RNAcentral.